This 492-nucleotide ribosomal RNA is filed under the name uncultured bacterium. RNAcentral's name for it is "partial 16S ribosomal RNA". It matches the Rfam family "Bacterial small subunit ribosomal RNA", at positions 29 to 507 of the family's 1533-position model. The record is from RNAcentral.
AGUGAACGCUGGCGGUAGGCCUAACACAUGCAAGUCGAACGGCAGCACAGUAAGAGCUUGCUCUUACGGGUGGCGAGUGGCGGACGGGUGAGGAAUACAUCGGAAUCUACUUUUUCGUGGGGGAUAACGUAGGGAAACUUACGCUAAUACCGCAUACGACCUACGGGUGAAAGCAGGGGAUCUUCGGACCUUGCGCGAUUGAAUGAGCCGAUGUCGGAUUAGCUAGUUGGCGGGGUAAAGGCCCACCAAGGCGACGAUCCGUAGCUGGUCUGAGAGGAUGAACAGCCACACGGGAACAGAGACACGGUCCAGACUCCUGCGGGAGGCAGCAGUGGGGAAUAUUGGACAAUGGGGGCAAGCCUGAUCCAGCCAUACCGCGUGGGUGAAGAAGGCCUUCGGGUUGUAAAGCCCUUUUGUUGGGAAAGAAAAGCAGCAGGUUAAUACCCCGCUGUUCUGACGGUACCCAAAGAAUAAGCACCGGCUAACUUCGUG